Long non-coding RNA from Canis lupus familiaris (dog), 1842 nucleotides. RefSeq lists it as uncharacterized. The transcript is spliced from 4 exons. NCBI's taxonomy places the organism in Eukaryota, Metazoa, Chordata, Mammalia, Carnivora, Canidae. The record is from RefSeq and is a predicted model, not a curated record.
GAAAAAUAUAUUUCACUUUUCUUUUAAAACAAUUUCCUCAUAGUCUUGAGCAGCCAUUAAAAACUAGCUAAACUCACUAAGGUGCCAAGUAUUUUAUGAGGAAGCAAAUUCUGACUCCCUUUACAGGCAUUCAGAACACCUCUGAACACCAACAGACCUGUCCCCUUAGUAACCGCAGGGUGGACAAGUAAAGUUGGUGCCCUCGGAUCCUUCUACAACGCUCGGUGGAGGAUCACAGACCUUCGAUGUUCAACCGGCUGUCAACAUGACAGUUUUCACAACUACUGUCAAGUCCUCAAUGAGAACUGCCAUCAUUCAACUUGCAACUCUAAGUCCUGAGCCCACUUAGUGAUUCUUGGAGAUCAUCAUCUAGGGCCUCUGCACAUGAUUUACCAGUUUUCCCUGCAGAACCCUAUAAACCGAGAAUGUUUAUGUCCCUAUUCUCUCUGGGACCUUAUCGAUGCAGAGAGAUCUGUAUACACCUCGUCUGUUAGAAAGUAUCAGCAAAUGCACACCCGUAAGAAAACCUGGAAAUGAAGAUUCUGUCUUUGUUUCAUGAAACUUAGGUCUGGUUACUUCACAUGCUACAAAGACCACAUUAUGAUAAUGCAGCCAGAUUUUUCGACUGGAAAACCCCUUCUUUGUGCAGAAUUAGAACCGACUAUUCCAUUUUUACAGAAUCCCAAAAACAGCACCGAAGCGUUCAGAGUUCUGGCACCUGAACACGUCUGACAAUCCCUACCUGAGAAGGAAAGAAACCAAACUAAGAACCGCUUUACUACAAUAGAUCUGUAGUAGAUGUGUCCACAUUUGUCAUUGCACAAAUUCUGAAAGUCAGUCUUCACUGGAAUAUAAUGGAAUGGAACAAAUGCAUCUCCAUCUAUAGAGGCCCCGACUCGCAGGAGUGGCACCAAGGCCUGUGGUAGACAAAACAUACAAAGCUCCUUGCAAUCUCGCCGUGAUUCUCUGAUCUUAUUCCCCGCUUCUCUCCUCUCUACAACACUGCAGCCACAUCUCUAGCUUUCUUGUUGCUCUUUAGACACAAUAAAGUCAUUUCAACCUCAGGACAUUUGCACUUACUAUUAACUAAUGCCUGAAUCGCUCUUCCCUCACAUCAUGAGAUCUUCCUUCUCGCAAUUUGGAUUUCAGCUUAAAUGUCACCUCCUCUUAGAAGCUUUCCCUGCUCCUCCACUCUGAAGUGGAAUCCCCAAAGCACUAUCACUCACCCUGUUUAAUCUUCUUUACUAAGCACUUACCAAUAAAAGUGUUUUAUUCAAUUAUCUAUCCCAACCUUUCUAGAAUGAAUACCAUGAGAAGGGGGCCUCGUCCCAUCUGUUAGGCAACCUUGCAGGUGCUCAACGUCUGUUGAAUGAAAGUAUAAAAGAGCAUUAACCUCUCAUUCCUAGUGCUGGGGAAAGGGCAACCACUGCUGGAGUCCAUAUUCCCAUUUCUCCCACCACGGUUUCACAUGACACACAGUUUCUGGUGUCACUUAUAUGCCACGAUGAAAACAGCAUCCAUAUACUCAACACACAUACCAGAUACCAUUCUAGACGGCCCUCCAGGCUAUGCCAUCCCUUUUCUGUUUAACACAACUGCAAGCCAAGUAUUUGGAACACUCUUUUCCAGAUGAGGACACAGGCUUACUCAAGGUCCCUAGGGCCAGGGACCCCGACCCCUAAACCUGAGAGUCAUGAGAAGUACCAAUGGGUUGGUGAGGGAGAUGGUACAGUCAUGAACUGAACCUACUUUCAGACUAGUGUCCUUUAGUUUUCACCUUCACUCGAAUCUUUACAAGAUGUAAAUAUAUGGUACUUACGCUUCCCUCAUGUUCUCUCGUCU